RNAcentral lists this long non-coding RNA (239 nucleotides) under Vigna radiata. Its description in RNAcentral is "long non-coding RNA (VRAD_LNC000390)". Lineage: Eukaryota; Viridiplantae; Streptophyta; Magnoliopsida; Fabales; Fabaceae. The record is from RNAcentral.
GUGAAUAGAGGCAAGGGGAUUGAAGGUUGUAAGAAAUCGGUUUACAACUUGCUGAAAUUUCUUUGACAGGGGGAUUUUGGGAUAGGAAGAUGAUGAAUCUGCAAAGAUUGGGUUAGGCUUUUCUCUCGUAGGAAGAUGACUAUAGGGGUUUUCACGAUAUAAGCAACAUGGCAGAUAGAGAACAUAAAAACUGGCAGAAGACGUAGUAUUAUCGUUUGUUAGGUCGAUCAAAAGUUGGC